CUCAGGUAUCUAGUAAUUCAAAAGCAAACUAUAUAUUUGUGAGGUAUCCAGGCAAACUGGUAGCUCAUCAGAGGCAAGCAGUCCUAUAUUUAUCUUACAGGAACAGAGUAACUGAACUUGUUUAUCACACUGACACCUGGUGCCACAGCAAAAACUUGCAGACCUUCAACUGCUUUUGAACACGGGACUUGUGACCCUGACAUCUGCAGCUUUCCAGCCUUGUUUGGCAGCCAGUUAGCAACGUCCUGCACACAGAGUCACACCAUUUUACCAGGGGCUUCGGGGUGGAAGAAAAACAAUCACCCACAAAAGAACAUGCUGGGCUUUCAGAAGACAUUCAGGUUCCUGAAUGCAGCACUGAGGAAUCAGAUGUUUCCAAAAGCAAGCAUGGGCAGUAACCCACCAAAGGAGAUUAUAACACCAGCCGAACAAGCCAUUGCAAUGAGUGUGAUGUUUAUGACAUUCUUGAUCCCAUCGAGUUGGAUUCUGUGUCAUCUGGAGAAUUACAAGCAUCGGCCCAGUGAAUGAAGGACAGAUCAGCUUUGAACGCAGAUGACAUAUGAGGGAUGAUAAGAAAAACCUGAAGUCUUCUUUCACAGAAAGCUGCCUCUAAAGGUUUUUGUAAUUAAAAAAUUGUUUAAAGCCAUA
Molecule: long non-coding RNA, 648 nt
Organism: Sphaerodactylus townsendi
Lineage: Eukaryota; Metazoa; Chordata; Lepidosauria; Squamata; Sphaerodactylidae
Exons: 2
Source: RefSeq, a predicted model, not a curated record